RNAcentral lists this ribosomal RNA (497 nucleotides) under uncultured bacterium. RNAcentral describes it as "partial 16S ribosomal RNA". It matches the Rfam family "Bacterial small subunit ribosomal RNA", at positions 28 to 507 of the family's 1533-position model. The record is from RNAcentral.
GAUGAACGCUGGCGGCGUGCCUAAUACAUGCAAGUCGAGCGAACAGAUGAGGAGCUUGCUCCUCUGACGUUAGCGGCGGACGGGUGAGUAACACGUGGAUAACCUACCUAUAAGACUGGGAUAACUUCGGGAAACCGGAGCUAAUACCGGAUCAUAUAUUGAACCGCAUGGUUCAAUAGUGAAAGACGGUUUUGCUGUCACUUAUAGAUGGAUCCGCGCCGCAUUAGCUAGUUGGUAAAGUAACGGCUUACCAAGGCAACGAUGCGUAGCCGACCUGAGAGGGUGAUCAGCCACACUGGAACUGAGACACGGUCCAGACUCCUACGGGAGGCAGCAGUAGGGAAUCUUCCGCAAUGGGCGAAAGCUUGACGGAGCAACGCCGCGUGAGUGAUGAAGGUCUUCGGAUCGUAAAACUCUGUUAUUAGGGAAGAACAAAUGUGUAAGUAACUAUGCACGUCUUGACGGUACCUAAUCAGAAAGCCACGGCUAACUACGUG